UACGAAGGGGGCUAGCGUUGUCCGGAAUUAUUGGGCGUAAAGCGCGCGCAGGCGGCUGUUUAAGUCUGGUGUAUAAACCUGGGGCUCAACUCCGGGUCGCACUGGAAACUGGAUAGCUUGAGUGCAGAAGAGGAGAGUGGAAUUCCACGUGUAGCGGUGAAAUGCGUAGAUAUGUGGAGGAACACCAGUGGCGAAGGCGACUCUCUGGGCUGUAACUGACGCUGAGGCGCGAAAGCGUGGGGAGCAAACAGG
RNAcentral lists this ribosomal RNA (252 nucleotides) under uncultured bacterium. RNAcentral describes it as "partial 16S ribosomal RNA". It matches the Rfam family "Bacterial small subunit ribosomal RNA", at positions 524 to 776 of the family's 1533-position model. The record is from RNAcentral.